GAACUUUACUAGCAUUUAUUAUAUUUUAUGCUUAUAGAUAUAAUAUUUAUAACGUAUUUUUUAUCGACACGUAUAUACACAUUACCGCCUACGCACUAUAUUCGUCAUAAAAAAGUCUAGAACAAGAUGAUACGUUUUUUUAUUUGUUGCAAUUCAUGGACCAUAUUCUGAAAUAUCAUAUCAUUUUAUAUUUAAAAAAUAAUAACAUGUACAUCGGAUUUAAGUUAAAAAUAAUGUUAAAAAACAAAAAAAAAUCAUAGAAUUACUGAGGCGUUAAGUGUAACGUGUCCAUAAAAAUAAUAACAACUUCAUAUUUAGUAAGUAAAAAAGAACAAUAAUUUUUAUUACUGUUGUGAAUGGACAUAGUAGUUGUGGAUUGUGGUAGAAUUGCAAAACUAGGACGACGUUUGUUUCAGAGGACCAUGUUCGAUUGUUCCUGCACACAAUAUAAUUAAAAAUCGUCUUCUUUAGACAAAAAAGUACAUGAUAAUAAAAUAACGAAAAAAUUGACACAGUGACAAUGGACAGACUUGACCAAUGUUUCAAUAACAUAUAGCCACUAAAUACUUGAUUCAAAGAUGUCAUCACUCAUCAGCCAAACAAAAAUGAAAUGUAAUUAGACAAAAAUACCGUUUUGUUCAAUUGAAAGUCACAUAUUAUGCAUUCACGGAACUCCAGAUUACACUUGUGAAAAAAGUCACUGAAGAGGAGUAAAUUCAUCGAUAGAAUAAUUUAUAAUGUUUUUGUAUACAUUGACCGCAUUAUACAUUUCAUUUUAUUCAAAUUGCAUAUUUUACACGUAUAUUCUUACAUGGUAAAAACAAAAAAAAAAAAAAUUGUUUUUAAUAUAUAUUGUUAACUUUUAGAUCAAGUACGUUUAACGGCCAUAUAAUAUAAUAUAACCGAGACGUUCUCGAAUUUAAAAUAUAGUGCACAAAAUUGGUUCCCAUUAUGCACUUCAAUAAAUAAUCGCACAUCUUGGCCGUCAAUCACGACACCUCAAGCAAAUAUCACGCGCAAAUUUAACGAUUUUGUUAUUUAUUGCCAGUAAUACGACGAAAUUUGCGUUUAAAAUUGCCAAGGGGACGUAAGUAUAACGCUUACACCUACAUAUCAUAUAUAGUCGUCCGAUAGAGUUGUCGACGAGGUAAUUGGAAACGUCCCGUCGGUCGACGUAUCAUAGUACUUGAUCUCGUCUUGCGGCAGCAGUUUACAGUGCUACAGAAAGCAGUAAAACAUACUAUAUACGAUAUCGUUUAUUAAUAUAACUUGUUUAUAUGAGUGGAUUCUGAAGUAAGACCAAGCGCCUUAUAAUUCAC
Molecule: long non-coding RNA, 1319 nt
Organism: Aphis gossypii (cotton aphid)
Lineage: Eukaryota; Metazoa; Arthropoda; Insecta; Hemiptera; Aphididae
Exons: 3
Source: RefSeq, a predicted model, not a curated record